RNAcentral lists this ribosomal RNA (497 nucleotides) under uncultured bacterium. RNAcentral's name for it is "partial 16S ribosomal RNA". It matches the Rfam family "Bacterial small subunit ribosomal RNA", at positions 28 to 507 of the family's 1533-position model. The record is from RNAcentral.
GAUGAACGCUGGCGGCGUGCCUAAUACAUGCAAGUCGAGCGAACGGACGAGAAGCUUGCUUCUCUGAUGUUAGCGGCGGACGGGUGAGUAACACGUGGAUAACCUACCUAUCAGACUGGGAUAACUUCGGGAAACCGUAGCUAAUACCGGAUAAUAUUUUGAACCGCAUGGUUCAAAAGUGAAAGACGGUCUUGCUGUCACUUAUAGAUGGAUCCGCGCUGCAUUAGCUAGUUGGUAAGGUAACGGCUUACCAAGGCAACGAUGCAUAGCCGACCUGAGAGGGUGAUCGGCCACACGGGAACGGAGACACGGUCCAGACUCCUAAGGGAGGCAGCAGUAGGGAAUCGUACGCAAUAGGCGAAAGCCUGACGGAGCAACGGAGCGUGAGUGAUGAAGGUCUUCGGAUAGUAAAAAUCGGUUAUUAGGGAAGAACAUAUGUGAAAGUAAAUGUGCAGAUCGUGACGGUACCUAAUCAGAAAGCCACGGCUAACUACGUG